CAUGCAAGUCGAGCGGAUGAGUGGAGCUUGCUCCAUGAUUCAGCGGCGGACGGGUGAGUAAUGCCUAGGAAUCUGCCUGGUAGUGGGGGAUAACGUUUCGAAAGGAACGCUAAUACCGCAUACGUCCUACGGGAGAAAGUGGGGGAUCUUCGGACCUCACGCUAUCAGAUGAGCCUAGGUCGGAUUAGCUAGUUGGUGGGGUAAUGGCCCACCAAGGCGACGAUCCGUAACUGGUCUGAGAGGAUGAUCAGUCACACUGGAACUGAGACACGGUCCAGACUCCUACGGGAGGCAGCAGUGGGGAAUAUUGGACAAUGGGCGAAAGCCUGAUCCAGCCAUGCCGCGUGUGUGAAGAAGGUCUUCGGAUUGUAAAGCACUUUAAGUUGGGAGGAAGGGCAGUAAGUUAAUACCUUGCUGUUUUGACGUUACCAACAGAAUAAGCACCGGCUAACUUCGUGCCAGCAGCCGCGGUAAUACGAAGGGUGCAAGCGUUAAUCGGAAUUACUGGGCGUAAAGCGCGCGUAGGUGGUUCAGCAAGUUGGAUGUGAAAGCCCCGGGCUCAACCUGGGAAUUGCAUCCAAAACUACUGAGCUAGAGUACGGUAGAGGGUGGUGGAAUUUCCUGUGUAGCGGUGAAAUGCGUAGAUAUAGGAAGGAACACCAGUGGCGAAGGCGACCACCUGGACUGAUACUGACACUGAGGUGCGAAAGCGUGGGGAGCAAACAGGAUUAGAUACCCUGGUAGUCCACGCCGUAAACGAUGUCGACUAGCCGUUGGGAUCCUUGAGAUCUUAGUGGCGCAGCUAACGCGAUAAGUCGACCGCCUGGGGAGUAC
This 834-nucleotide ribosomal RNA is filed under the name Metapseudomonas otitidis. RNAcentral describes it as "bacterial SSU rRNA". It matches the Rfam family "Bacterial small subunit ribosomal RNA", at positions 54 to 883 of the family's 1533-position model. Lineage: Bacteria; Pseudomonadati; Pseudomonadota; Gammaproteobacteria; Pseudomonadales; Pseudomonadaceae. The record is from RNAcentral.